Molecule: ribosomal RNA, 531 nt
Filed under: Campylonotus rathbunae
Lineage: Eukaryota; Metazoa; Arthropoda; Malacostraca; Decapoda; Campylonotidae
Description: partial 12S ribosomal RNA
Rfam family: Microsporidia small subunit ribosomal RNA (bases 166-531)
Source: RNAcentral
GGUAAUUAAAUUAAUUUUAAGAAAAAUCUUGUUCUUUAAGUUCAAAGGUGAAAUUUGGUGAGGAAAGAGAGUGAGAUUAUUUUUAAUAUUUUUUGAAGUUGUGAAAUCUAAGAAAUAAAAUAGGAUUAGAUACCCUGCUAUACUUAGAUAAAAUUAUAAGUGCUUGAGUAGUAAACAGUUGUGUUCUCGAAACUUAAAGAAUUUGGCGGUAUUUUAGUCUCUUUAGAGGAACCUGUUCCGUAAACGAUACACCACGAAUAAUCUUACCUCUUUAAGCAGUAGCAGCUCGUAUACCGUCAUUAUUAGAUAACUUUUAUAAUUGAUUAUCGAAAUAAAGCUUGUUAAUUAAAUUAGAUCAAGGUGCGGCCAAUAAAGAGGGGUGUAAUGGGUUACAAUAGAAUUGAUGUUAUACGAAGGUGUGAAGUUAAAAUUACACUGAAGGUGGAUUUAAUAGUAAGUUUGUUUUAGUAAGCCAAGCUGAUAAAAGCUCUAAGAUAUGUACACAUCGCCCGUCGCUCUCACAGACAAUGU